This 512-nucleotide ribosomal RNA is filed under the name uncultured bacterium. RNAcentral describes it as "bacterial SSU rRNA". It matches the Rfam family "Bacterial small subunit ribosomal RNA", at positions 34 to 518 of the family's 1533-position model. The record is from RNAcentral.
CGCUGGCGGCGUGCCUAAUACAUGCAAGUCGAACGGUCUUUCUAUGGAAGCUUGCUUCCACUGAGAAGAUAGUGGCGAACGGGUGAGUAACACGUGGGUAACCUGCCCAUAAGAGGGGGAUAACAUCCGGAAACGGGUGCUAAUACCGCAUAGUUUUCUUGAUCGCAUGAUUGAGAAAGGAAAGACGGCCUUUGUGCUGUCGCUUAUGGAUGGACCCGCGGCGUAUUAGUUAGUUGGUGAGGUAACGGCUCACCAAGACGAUGACACGUAGCCGACCUGAGAGGGUGAUCGGCCACAUUGGGACUGAGACACGGCCCAAACUCCUACGGGAGGCAGCAGUAGGGAAUCUUCCGCAAUGGACGAAAGUCUGACGGAGCAACGCCGCGUGAGUGAAGAAGGUUUUUCCGGAUCGUAAAACUCUGUUGUCAGAGAAGAACAAGUUGGAGAGUAACUGCUCCAGCCUUGACGGUAUCUGACCAGAAAGCCACGGCUAACUACGUGCCAGCAGCAGC